Molecule: ribosomal RNA, 513 nt
Filed under: uncultured bacterium
Lineage: Bacteria
Description: bacterial SSU rRNA
Rfam family: Bacterial small subunit ribosomal RNA
Source: RNAcentral
CUACGUGCCAGCAGCCGCGGUAAUACGGGGGGUGCGAGCGUUAAUCGGAAUAACUGGGCGUAAAGGGCACGCAGGCGGUGACUUAAGUGAGAUGUGAAAGCCCCGAGCUUAACUUGGGAAUUGCAUUUCAUACUGGGUCGCUAGAGUACUUUAGGGAGGGGUAGAAUUCCACGUGUAGCGGUGAAAUGCGUAGAGAUGUGGAGGAAUACCGAAGGCGAAGGCAGCCCCUUGGGAAUGUACUGACGCUCAUGUGCGAAAGCGUGGGGAGCAAACAGGAUUAGAUACCCUGGUAGUCCACGCUGUAAACGAUGUCGAUUUGGGGAUUGGGCUUUGAGCUUGGUGCCCGUAGCUAACGUGAUAAAUCGACCGCCUGGGGAGUACGGCCGCAAGGUUAAAACUCAAAUGAAUUGACGGGGGCCCGCACAAGCGGUGGAGCAUGUGGUUUAAUUCGAUGCAACGCGAAGAACCUUACCUACUCUUGGCAUCCAUGGAAUCUUGUAGAGAUAUGAGAGU